Xyrichtys novacula (pearly razorfish) is the source of this 11117-nucleotide non-coding RNA. The record is from the annotation of a GenBank genome assembly. NCBI's taxonomy places the organism in Eukaryota, Metazoa, Chordata, Actinopteri, Labriformes, Labridae.
UGGGAGACCGCCUGGGAAUACCAGGUGCUGUAAGCUUUUCUUUCUUUUCUUGCAUCUUUUGCCGUGUUCUCUCUCCAAGAGGCUAGGAUAUCGGUCUUUGGGGAGCCUGGUCUUUUGCUUGGACAAAUGCAAGUGCACUUGGAGAUUAGCCUGAAGAUAAAAUGAAAGAAAAAGUCAAAAAGCACAAAGAGCGGGAGGACUGAGAUCUUGUCCUAAAGUGGAGCAAAGGAGUGGAGCAUGAUGGACUGCAGAGAUAGGCUGUAAAACUAAGCUUGACUGCGUAUCCGGGUGUUUUCUUGAGCGACGCAUUGUUCACUGAAAGUGAAAUGCUGAUUCUAAUUGAGAGAAGCACACAGGAGCAUGUUCAAAUAGCUCAUUUGGAGCCUGUGUCAUCGCUUACGGCCAUACCACCCUGAACACGCCCGAUCUCGUCCGAUCUCGGAAGCUAAGCAGGGUCGGGCCUGGUUAGUACUUGGAUGGGAGACCGCCUGGGAAUACCAGGUGCUGUAAGCUUUUCUCUUCUUUUCUUGCAUCUUUUGCCGUGUUCUCUCUCCAAGAGGCUAGGAUAUGGGUCUUUGGGGAGCCUGGUCUUUUGCUUGGACCAAUGCAAAUGCACUUGGAGAUUAGGCUGAAGAUAAAAUGAAAGAAAAAGUCAAAAAGCACAAAGAGCGGGAGGACUGAGAUCUUGUCCUGAAGCGGAGCAAAGGAGUGGAGCAUGAUGGACUGCAGAGAUAGGCUGUAAAACUAAGCUUGACUGCGUAUCCGGGUGUUUUCUUGAGCGCCGCAUUGUUCACUGAAAGUGAAAUGCUGAUUCUAAUUGAGAGAAGCACACAGGAGCAUGUUCAAAUAGCUCAUUUGGAGCCUGUGUCAUCGCUUACGGCCAUACCACCCUGAACACGCCCGAUCUCGUCCGAUCUCGGAAGCUAAGCAGGGUCGGGCCUGGUUAGUACUUGGAUGGGAGACCGCCUGGGAAUACCAGGUGCUGUAAGCUUUUCUUUUUUCUUGCAUCUUUUGCCGUGUUCUCUCUCCAAGAGGCUAGGAUAUCGGUCUUUGGGGAGCCUGGUCUUUAGCUUGGACAAAUGCAAGUGCACUUGGAGAUUAGGCUGAACAUAAAAUGAAAGAAAAGUCAAAAAGCACAAAGAGCGGGAGGACUGAGAUCUUGUCCUAAAGUGGAGCAAAGGAGUGGAGCAUGAUGGACUGCAGAGAUAGGCUGUAAAACUAAGCUUGACUGCGUAUCCGGGUGUUUUCUUGAGCGCCGCAUUGUUCACUGAAAGUGAAAUGCUGAUUCUAAUUGAGAGAAGCACACAGGAGCAUGUUCAAAUAGCUCAUUUGGAGCCUGUGUCAUCGCUUACGGCCAUACCACCCUGAACACGCCCGAUCUCGUCCGAUCUCGGAAGCUAAGCAGGGUCGGGCCUGGUUAGUACUUGGAUGGGAGACCGCCUGGGAAUACCAGGUGCUGUAAGCUUUUCUCUUCUUUUCUUGCAUCUUUUUGCCGUGUUCUCUCUCCAAGAGGCUAGGAUAUCGGUCUUUGGGGAGCCUGGUCUUUUGCUUGGACAAAUGCAAGUGCACUUGGAGAUUAGGCUGAACAUAAAAUGAAAGAAAAAGUCAAAAAGCACAAAGAGCGGGAGGACUGAGAUCUUGUCCUAAAGUGGAGCAAAGGAGUGGAGCAUGAUGGACUGCAGAGAUAGGCUGUAAAACUAAGCUUGACUGCGUAUCCGGGUGUUUUCUUGAGCGCCGCAUUGUUCACUGAAAGUGAAAUGCUGAUUCUAAUUGAGAGAAGCACACAGGAGCAUGUUCAAAUAGCUCAUUUGGAGCCUGUGUCAUCGCUUACGGCCAUACCACCCUGAACACGCCCGAUCUCGUCCGAUCUCGGAAGCUAAGCAGGGUCGGGCCUGGUUAGUACUUGGAUGGGAGACCGCCUGGGAAUACCAGGUGCUGUAAGCUUUUCUCUUCUUUUCUUGCAUCUUUUUGCCGUGUUCUCUCUCCAAGAGGCUAGGAUAUCGGUCUUUGGGGAGCCUGGUCUUUUGCUUGGACAAAUGCAAGUGCACUUGGAGAUUAGGCUGAACAUAAAAUGAAAGAAAAAGUCAAAAAGCACAAAGAGCGGGAGGACUGAGAUCUUGUCCUAAAGUGGAGCAAAGGAGUGGAGCAUGAUGGACUGCAGAGAUAGGCUGUAAAACUAAGCUUGACUGCGUAUCCGGGUGUUUUCUUGAGCGCCGCAUUGUUCACUGAAAGUGAAAUGCUGAUUCUAAUUGAGAGAAGCACACAGGAGCAUGUUCAAAUAGCUCAUUUGGAGCCUGUGUCAUCGCUUACGGCCAUACCACCCUGAACACGCCCGAUCUCGUCCGAUCUCGGAAGCUAAGCAGGGUCGGGCCUGGUUAGUACUUGGAUGGGAGACCGCCUGGGAAUACCAGGUGCUGUAAGCUUUUCUCUUCUUUUCUUGCAUCUUUUUGCCGUGUUCUCUCUCCAAGAGGCUAGGAUAUCGGUCUUUGGGGAGCCUGGUCUUUUGCUUGGACAAAUGCAAGUGCACUUGGAGAUUAGGCUGAACAUAAAAUGAAAGAAAAAGUCAAAAAGCACAAAGAGCGGGAGGACUGAGAUCUUGUCCUAAAGUGGAGCAAAGGAGUGGAGCAUGAUGGACUGCAGAGAUAGGCUGUAAAACUAAGCUUGACUGCGUAUCCGGGUGUUUUCUUGAGCGCCGCAUUGUUCACUGAAAGUGAAAUGCUGAUUCUAAUUGAGAGAAGCACACAGGAGCAUGUUCAAAUAGCUCAUUUGGAGCCUGUGUCAUCGCUUACGGCCAUACCACCCUGAACACGCCCGAUCUCGUCCGAUCUCGGAAGCUAAGCAGGGUCGGGCCUGGUUAGUACUUGGAUGGGAGACCGCCUGGGAAUACCAGGUGCUGUAAGCUUUUCUUCUUUUCUUGCAUCUUUUUGCCGUGUUCUCUCUCCAAGAGGCUAGGAUAUCGGUCUUUGGGGAGCCUGGUCUUUUGCUUGGACAAAUGCAAGUGCACUUGGAGAUUAGGCUGAACAUAAAAUGAAAGAAAAAGUCAAAAAGCACAAAGAGCGGGAGGACUGAGAUCUUGUCCUAAAGUGGAGCAAAGGAGUGGAGCAUGAUGGACUGCAGAGAUAGGCUGUAAAACUAAGCUUGACUGCGUAUCCGGGUGUUUUCUUGAGCGCCGCAUUGUUCACUGAAAGUGAAAUGCUGAUUCUAAUUGAGAGAAGCACACAGGAGCAUGUUCAAAUAGCUCAUUUGGAGCCUGUGUCAUCGCUUACGGCCAUACCACCCUGAACACGCCCGAUCUCGUCCGAUCUCGGAAGCUAAGCAGGGUCGGGCCUGGUUAGUACUUGGAUGGGAGACCGCCUGGGAAUACCAGGUGCUGUAAGCUUUUCUCUUUUUUCUUGCAUCUUUUUGCCGUGUUCUCUCUCCAAGAGGCUAGGAUAUCGGUCUUUGGGGAGCCUGGUCUUUUGCUUGGACAAAUGCAAGUGCACUUGGAGAUUAGGCUGAACAUAAAAUGAAAGAAAAAGUCAAAAAGCACAAAGAGCGGGAGGACUGAGAUCUUGUCCUAAAGUGGAGCAAAGGAGUGGAGCAUGAUGGACUGCAGAGAUAGGCUGUAAAACUAAGCUUGACUGCGUAUCCGGGUGUUUUCUUGAGCGCCGCAUUGUUCACUGAAAGUGAAAUGCUGAUUCUAAUUGAGAGAAGCACACAGGAGCAUGUUCAAAUAGCUCAUUUGGAGCCUGUGUCAUCGCUUACGGCCAUACCACCCUGAACACGCCCGAUCUCGUCCGAUCUCGGAAGCUAAGCAGGGUCGGGCCUGGUUAGUACUUGGAUGGGAGACCGCCUGGGAAUACCAGGUGCUGUAAGCUUUUCUCUUUUUUCUUGCAUCUUUUUGCCGUGUUCUCUCUCCAAGAGGCUAGGAUAUCGGUCUUUGGGGAGCCUGGUCUUUUGCUUGGACAAAUGCAAGUGCACUUGGAGAUUAGGCUGAACAUAAAAUGAAAGAAAAAGUCAAAAAGCACAAAGAGCGGGAGGACUGAGAUCUUGUCCUAAAGUGGAGCAAAGGAGUGGAGCAUGAUGGACUGCAGAGAUAGGCUGUAAAACUAAGCUUGACUGCGUAUCCGGGUGUUUUCUUGAGCGCCGCAUUGUUCACUGAAAGUGAAAUGCUGAUUCUAAUUGAGAGAAGCACACAGGAGCAUGUUCAAAUAGCUCAUUUGGAGCCUGUGUCAUCGCUUACGGCCAUACCACCCUGAACACGCCCGAUCUCGUCCGAUCUCGGAAGCUAAGCAGGGUCGGGCCUGGUUAGUACUUGGAUGGGAGACCGCCUGGGAAUACCAGGUGCUGUAAGCUUUUCUCUUCUUUUCUUGCAUCUUUUUGCCGUGUUCUCUCUCCAAGAGGCUAGGAUAUCGGUCUUUGGGGAGCCUGGUCUUUUGCUUGGACAAAUGCAAGUGCACUUGGAGAUUAGGCUGAACAUAAAAUGAAAGAAAAAGUCAAAAAGCACAAAGAGCGGGAGGACUGAGAUCUUGUCCUAAAGUGGAGCAAAGGAGUGGAGCAUGAUGGACUGCAGAGAUAGGCUGUAAAACUAAGCUUGACUGCGUAUCCGGGUGUUUUCUUGAGCGCCGCAUUGUUCACUGAAAGUGAAAUGCUGAUUCUAAUUGAGAGAAGCACACAGGAGCAUGUUCAAAUAGCUCAUUUGGAGCCUGUGUCAUCGCUUACGGCCAUACCACCCUGAACACGCCCGAUCUCGUCCGAUCUCGGAAGCUAAGCAGGGUCGGGCCUGGUUAGUACUUGGAUGGGAGACCGCCUGGGAAUACCAGGUGCUGUAAGCUUUUCUCUUCUUUUCUUGCAUCUUUUUGCCGUGUUCUCUCUCCAAGAGGCUAGGAUAUCGGUCUUUGGGGAGCCUGGUCUUUUGCUUGGACAAAUGCAAGUGCACUUGGAGAUUAGGCUGAACAUAAAAUGAAAGAAAAAGUCAAAAAGCACAAAGAGCGGGAGGACUGAGAUCUUGUCCUAAAGUGGAGCAAAGGAGUGGAGCAUGAUGGACUGCAGAGAUAGGCUGUAAAACUAAGCUUGACUGCGUAUCCGGGUGUUUUCUUGAGCGCCGCAUUGUUCACUGAAAGUGAAAUGCUGAUUCUAAUUGAGAGAAGCACACAGGAGCAUGUUCAAAUAGCUCAUUUGGAGCCUGUGUCAUCGCUUACGGCCAUACCACCCUGAACACGCCCGAUCUCGUCCGAUCUCGGAAGCUAAGCAGGGUCGGGCCUGGUUAGUACUUGGAUGGGAGACCGCCUGGGAAUACCAGGUGCUGUAAGCUUUUCUCUUCUUUUCUUGCAUCUUUUUGCCGUGUUCUCUCUCCAAGAGGCUAGGAUAUCGGUCUUUGGGGAGCCUGGUCUUUUGCUUGGACAAAUGCAAGUGCACUUGGAGAUUAGGCUGAACAUAAAAUGAAAGAAAAAGUCAAAAAGCACAAAGAGCGGGAGGACUGAGAUCUUGUCCUAAAGUGGAGCAAAGGAGUGGAGCAUGAUGGACUGCAGAGAUAGGCUGUAAAACUAAGCUUGACUGCGUAUCCGGGUGUUUUCUUGAGCGCCGCAUUGUUCACUGAAAGUGAAAUGCUGAUUCUAAUUGAGAGAAGCACACAGGAGCAUGUUCAAAUAGCUCAUUUGGAGCCUGUGUCAUCGCUUACGGCCAUACCACCCUGAACACGCCCGAUCUCGUCCGAUCUCGGAAGCUAAGCAGGGUCGGGCCUGGUUAGUACUUGGAUGGGAGACCGCCUGGGAAUACCAGGUGCUGUAAGCUUUUCUCUUCUUUUCUUGCAUCUUUUUGCCGUGUUCUCUCUCCAAGAGGCUAGGAUAUCGGUCUUUGGGGAGCCUGGUCUUUUGCUUGGACAAAUGCAAGUGCACUUGGAGAUUAGGCUGAACAUAAAAUGAAAGAAAAAGUCAAAAAGCACAAAGAGCGGGAGGACUGAGAUCUUGUCCUAAAGUGGAGCAAAGGAGUGGAGCAUGAUGGACUGCAGAGAUAGGCUGUAAAACUAAGCUUGACUGCGUAUCCGGGUGUUUUCUUGAGCGCCGCAUUGUUCACUGAAAGUGAAAUGCUGAUUCUAAUUGAGAGAAGCACACAGGAGCAUGUUCAAAUAGCUCAUUUGGAGCCUGUGUCAUCGCUUACGGCCAUACCACCCUGAACACGCCCGAUCUCGUCCGAUCUCGGAAGCUAAGCAGGGUCGGGCCUGGUUAGUACUUGGAUGGGAGACCGCCUGGGAAUACCAGGUGCUGUAAGCUUUUCUCUUCUUUUCUUGCAUCUUUUUGCCGUGUUCUCUCUCCAAGAGGCUAGGAUAUCGGUCUUUGGGGAGCCUGGUCUUUUGCUUGGACAAAUGCAAGUGCACUUGGAGAUUAGGCUGAACAUAAAAUGAAAGAAAAAGUCAAAAAGCACAAAGAGCGGGAGGACUGAGAUCUUGUCCUAAAGUGGAGCAAAGGAGUGGAGCAUGAUGGACUGCAGAGAUAGGCUGUAAAACUAAGCUUGACUGCGUAUCCGGGUGUUUUCUUGAGCGCCGCAUUGUUCACUGAAAGUGAAAUGCUGAUUCUAAUUGAGAGAAGCACACAGGAGCAUGUUCAAAUAGCUCAUUUGGAGCCUGUGUCAUCGCUUACGGCCAUACCACCCUGAACACGCCCGAUCUCGUCCGAUCUCGGAAGCUAAGCAGGGUCGGGCCUGGUUAGUACUUGGAUGGGAGACCGCCUGGGAAUACCAGGUGCUGUAAGCUUUUCUCUUCUUUUCUUGCAUCUUUUUGCCGUGUUCUCUCUCCAAGAGGCUAGGAUAUCGGUCUUUGGGGAGCCUGGUCUUUUGCUUGGACAAAUGCAAGUGCACUUGGAGAUUAGGCUGAACAUAAAAUGAAAGAAAAAGUCAAAAAGCACAAAGAGCGGGAGGACUGAGAUCUUGUCCUAAAGUGGAGCAAAGGAGUGGAGCAUGAUGGACUGCAGAGAUAGGCUGUAAAACUAAGCUUGACUGCGUAUCCGGGUGUUUUCUUGAGCGCCGCAUUGUUCACUGAAAGUGAAAUGCUGAUUCUAAUUGAGAGAAGCACACAGGAGCAUGUUCAAAUAGCUCAUUUGGAGCCUGUGUCAUCGCUUACGGCCAUACCACCCUGAACACGCCCGAUCUCGUCCGAUCUCGGAAGCUAAGCAGGGUCGGGCCUGGUUAGUACUUGGAUGGGAGACCGCCUGGGAAUACCAGGUGCUGUAAGCUUUUCUCUUCUUUUCUUGCAUCUUUUUGCCGUGUUCUCUCUCCAAGAGGCUAGGAUAUCGGUCUUUGGGGAGCCUGGUCUUUUGCUUGGACAAAUGCAAGUGCACUUGGAGAUUAGGCUGAACAUAAAAUGAAAGAAAAAGUCAAAAAGCACAAAGAGCGGGAGGACUGAGAUCUUGUCCUAAAGUGGAGCAAAGGAGUGGAGCAUGAUGGACUGCAGAGAUAGGCUGUAAAACUAAGCUUGACUGCGUAUCCGGGUGUUUUCUUGAGCGCCGCAUUGUUCACUGAAAGUGAAAUGCUGAUUCUAAUUGAGAGAAGCACACAGGAGCAUGUUCAAAUAGCUCAUUUGGAGCCUGUGUCAUCGCUUACGGCCAUACCACCCUGAACACGCCCGAUCUCGUCCGAUCUCGGAAGCUAAGCAGGGUCGGGCCUGGUUAGUACUUGGAUGGGAGACCGCCUGGGAAUACCAGGUGCUGUAAGCUUUUCUCUUCUUUUCUUGCAUCUUUUUGCCGUGUUCUCUCUCCAAGAGGCUAGGAUAUCGGUCUUUGGGGAGCCUGGUCUUUUGCUUGGACAAAUGCAAGUGCACUUGGAGAUUAGGCUGAACAUAAAAUGAAAGAAAAAGUCAAAAAGCACAAAGAGCGGGAGGACUGAGAUCUUGUCCUAAAGUGGAGCAAAGGAGUGGAGCAUGAUGGACUGCAGAGAUAGGCUGUAAAACUAAGCUUGACUGCGUAUCCGGGUGUUUUCUUGAGCGCCGCAUUGUUCACUGAAAGUGAAAUGCUGAUUCUAAUUGAGAGAAGCACACAGGAGCAUGUUCAAAUAGCUCAUUUGGAGCCUGUGUCAUCGCUUACGGCCAUACCACCCUGAACACGCCCGAUCUCGUCCGAUCUCGGAAGCUAAGCAGGGUCGGGCCUGGUUAGUACUUGGAUGGGAGACCGCCUGGGAAUACCAGGUGCUGUAAGCUUUUCUCUUCUUUUCUUGCAUCUUUUUGCCGUGUUCUCUCUCCAAGAGGCUAGGAUAUCGGUCUUUGGGGAGCCUGGUCUUUUGCUUGGACAAAUGCAAGUGCACUUGGAGAUUAGGCUGAACAUAAAAUGAAAGAAAAAGUCAAAAAGCACAAAGAGCGGGAGGACUGAGAUCUUGUCCUAAAGUGGAGCAAAGGAGUGGAGCAUGAUGGACUGCAGAGAUAGGCUGUAAAACUAAGCUUGACUGCGUAUCCGGGUGUUUUCUUGAGCGCCGCAUUGUUCACUGAAAGUGAAAUGCUGAUUCUAAUUGAGAGAAGCACACAGGAGCAUGUUCAAAUAGCUCAUUUGGAGCCUGUGUCAUCGCUUACGGCCAUACCACCCUGAACACGCCCGAUCUCGUCCGAUCUCGGAAGCUAAGCAGGGUCGGGCCUGGUUAGUACUUGGAUGGGAGACCGCCUGGGAAUACCAGGUGCUGUAAGCUUUUCUCUUCUUUUCUUGCAUCUUUUUGCCGUGUUCUCUCUCCAAGAGGCUAGGAUAUCGGUCUUUGGGGAGCCUGGUCUUUUGCUUGGACAAAUGCAAGUGCACUUGGAGAUUAGGCUGAACAUAAAAUGAAAGAAAAAGUCAAAAAGCACAAAGAGCGGGAGGACUGAGAUCUUGUCCUAAAGUGGAGCAAAGGAGUGGAGCAUGAUGGACUGCAGAGAUAGGCUGUAAAACUAAGCUUGACUGCGUAUCCGGGUGUUUUCUUGAGCGCCGCAUUGUUCACUGAAAGUGAAAUGCUGAUUCUAAUUGAGAGAAGCACACAGGAGCAUGUUCAAAUAGCUCAUUUGGAGCCUGUGUCAUCGCUUACGGCCAUACCACCCUGAACACGCCCGAUCUCGUCCGAUCUCGGAAGCUAAGCAGGGUCGGGCCUGGUUAGUACUUGGAUGGGAGACCGCCUGGGAAUACCAGGUGCUGUAAGCUUUUCUUUUCUUUUCUUGCAUCUUUUUGCCGUGUUCUCUCUCCAAGAGGCUAGGAUAUCGGUCUUUGGGGAGCCUGGUCUUUGCUUGGACAAAUGCAAGUGCACUUGGAGAUUAGGCUGAACAUAAAAUGAAAGAAAAAGUCAAAAAGCACAAAGAGCGGGAGGACUGAGAUCUUGUCCUAAAGUGGAGCAAAGGAGUGGAGCAUGAUGGACUGCAGAGAUAGGCUGUAAAACUAAGCUUGACUGCGUAUCCGGGUGUUUUCUUGAGCGCCGCAUUGUUCACUGAAAGUGAAAUGCUGAUUCUAAUUGAGAGAAGCACACAGGAGCAUGUUCAAAUAGCUCAUUUGGAGCCUGUGUCAUCGCUUACGGCCAUACCACCCUGAACACGCCCGAUCUCGUCCGAUCUCGGAAGCUAAGCAGGGUCGGGCCUGGUUAGUACUUGGAUGGGAGACCGCCUGGGAAUACCAGGUGCUGUAAGCUUUUCUCUUCUUUUCUUGCAUCUUUUUGCCGUGUUCUCUCUCCAAGAGGCUAGGAUAUCGGUCUUUGGGGAGCCUGGUCUUUUGCUUGGACAAAUGCAAGUGCACUUGGAGAUUAGGCUGAACAUAAAAUGAAAGAAAAAGUCAAAAAGCACAAAGAGCGGGAGGACUGAGAUCUUGUCCUAAAGUGGAGCAAAGGAGUGGAGCAUGAUGGACUGCAGAGAUAGGCUGUAAAACUAAGCUUGACUGCGUAUCCGGGUGUUUUCUUGAGCGCCGCAUUGUUCACUGAAAGUGAAAUGCUGAUUCUAAUUGAGAGAAGCACACAGGAGCAUGUUCAAAUAGCUCAUUUGGAGCCUGUGUCAUCGCUUACGGCCAUACCACCCUGAACACGCCCGAUCUCGUCCGAUCUCGGAAGCUAAGCAGGGUCGGGCCUGGUUAGUACUUGGAUGGGAGACCGCCUGGGAAUACCAGGUGCUGUAAGCUUUUCUCUUCUUUUCUUGCAUCUUUUUGCCGUGUUCUCUCUCCAAGAGGCUAGGAUAUCGGUCUUUGGGGAGCCUGGUCUUUUGCUUGGACAAAUGCAAGUGCACUUGGAGAUUAGGCUGAACAUAAAAUGAAAGAAAAAGUCAAAAAGCACAAAGAGCGGGAGGACUGAGAUCUUGUCCUAAAGUGGAGCAAAGGAGUGGAGCAUGAUGGACUGCAGAGAUAGGCUGUAAAACUAAGCUUGACUGCGUAUCCGGGUGUUUUCUUGAGCGCCGCAUUGUUCACUGAAAGUGAAAUGCUGAUUCUAAUUGAGAGAACCACACAGGAGCAUGUUCAAAUAGCUCAUUUGGAGCCUGUGUCAUCGCUUACGGCCAUACCACCCUGAACACGCCCGAUCUCGUCCGAUCUCGGAAGCUAAGCAGGGUCGGGCCUGGUUAGUACUUGGAUGGGAGACCGCCUGGGAAUACCAGGUGCUGUAAGCUUUUCUCUUCUUUUCUUGCAUCUUUUUGCCGUGUUCUCUCUCCAAGAGGCUAGGAUAUCGGUCUUUGGGGAGCCUGGUCUUUUGCUUGGACAAAUGCAAGUGCACUUGGAGAUUAGGCUGAACAUAAAAUGAAAGAAAAAGUCAAAAAGCACAAAGAGCGGGAGGACUGAGAUCUUGUCCUAAAGUGGAGCAAAGGAGUGGAGCAUGAUGGACUGCAGAGAUAGGCUGUAAAACUAAGCUUGACUGCGUAUCCGGGUGUUUUCUUGAGCGCCGCAUUGUUCACUGAAAGUGAAAUGCUGAUUCUAAUUGAGAGAAGCACACAGGAGCAUGUUCAAAUAGCUCAUUUGGAGCCUGUGUCAUCGCUUACGGCCAUACCACCCUGAACACGCCCGAUCUCGUCCGAUCUCGGAAGCUAAGCAGGGUCGGGCCUGGUUAGUACUUGGAUGGGAGACCGCCUGGGAAUACCAGGUGCUGUAAGCUUUUCUUUUUUCUUGCAUCUUUUUGCCGUGUUCUCUCUCCAAGAGGCUAGGAUAUCGGUCUUUGGGGAGCCUGGUCUU